GAUGAACGCUGGCGGCGUGCCUAAUACAUGCAAGUCGAGCGAACAGAUGAGGAGCUUGCUCCUCUGACGUUAGCGGCGGACGGGUGAGUAACACGUGGAUAGCCUACCUAUAAGACUGGGAUAACUUCGGGAAACCGGAGCUAAUACCGGAUAAUAUAUUGAACCGCAUGGUUCAAUAGUGAAAGACGGUUUUGCUGUCACUUAUAGAUGGAUCCGCGCCGCAUUAGCUAGUUGGUAAGGUAACGGCUUACCAAGGCGACGAUGCGUAGCCGACCUGAGAGGGUGAUCGGCCACACUGGAACUGAGACACGGUCCAGACUCCUACGGGAGGCAGCAGUAGGGAAUCUUCCGCAAUGGGCGAAAGCCUGACGGAGCAACGCCGCGUGAGUGAUGAAGGUCUUCGGAUCGUAAAACUCUGUUAUUAGGGAAGAACAAAUGUGUAAGUAACUAUGCACGUCUUGACGGUACCUAAUCAGAAAGCCACGGCUAACUACGU
This 496-nucleotide ribosomal RNA is filed under the name uncultured bacterium. RNAcentral describes it as "partial 16S ribosomal RNA". It matches the Rfam family "Bacterial small subunit ribosomal RNA", at positions 28 to 506 of the family's 1533-position model. The record is from RNAcentral.